GGAUCAUUAAAGAGUUUAAUAAAACUCCUAAACCCCUGUGAACUCACUAUGUUGGAUUCUCGCCAGAGAUAGUCUGGUUUCUGCUUCGCGGAUCGCCUGCCCGUGACACCUGUCACAGGUAGGUAUGCUUCUGCCGCGGGUCCGCAGGUAAAUCGUCUGUUUCACAAGGGACGGCGAUUUUACCUGUGGAAGAGGUCCGCUAACUAUAUUCUUAUUAUAGUUUGUUCACUAGAUCAAACAUUCUGAAUAAAAACUUAAACUAGUUAAAACUUUCAACAACGGAUCUCUUGGUUCUGGCAUCGAUGAAGAACGCAGCGAAAUGCGAUAAGUAAUGUGAAUUGCAGAAUUCAGUGAAUCAUCGAAUCUUUGAACGCACAUUGCGCCCAUUAGUAUUCUAGUGGGCAUGCCUGUUCGAGCGUCAUUUCAACCCUUAAGCCCCUGUUGCUUAGCGUUGGGAGCCUACAGCCUGCUGUAGCUCCUUAAAGGUAGUGGCGGAGUCGGUUCACACUCUAGACGUAGUAAAAUCUUUAUCUCGCCUAUAGAUGAGCCGGCGCCUUGCCGUAAAACCCCUAAUCUUUCACAAGGUUGACCUCGGAUCAGGUAGGAAUACCCGCUGAACUUAAGCAUAUCAAUAAGCGGAGGAAAAGAAACCAACAGGGAUUGCCCUAGUAACGGCGAGUGAAGCGGCAACAGCUCAAAUUUGAAAUCUGGCCUUCGGGUCCGAGUUGUAAUUUGCAGAGGAUGCUUUGGGCGCGGUGCCUUCCGAGUUCCCUGGAACGGGACGCCUUAGAGGGUGAGAGCCCCGUACGGUUGGACACCAAGCCUCUGUAAAGCUCCUUCGACGAGUCGAGUAGUUUGGGAAUGCUGCUCUAAAUGGGAGGUAAAUUUCUUCUAAAGCUAAAUAUUGGCCAGAGACCGAUAGCGCACAAGUAGAGUGAUCGAAAGAUGAAAAGCACUUUGAAAAGAGGGUUAAAUAGCACGUGAAAUUGUUGAAAGGGAAGCGUUUGCGACCAGACCUUUUCCCAGCGGAUCAUCCGGUGUUCUCACCGGUGCACUUCGCUGGGUUGAGGCCAGCAUCGGUUUCCGCAGGGGGAUAAAAGCCUGGGGAACGUAGCUCCCUCGGGAGUGUUAUAGCCCCUCGCAUAAUACCCUUGCGGGGACCGAGGACCGCGCU
RNAcentral lists this ribosomal RNA (1174 nucleotides) under Xylaria sp. genotype 293. RNAcentral's name for it is "eukaryotic LSU rRNA". The stretch from base 587 to 1174 matches the Rfam family "Eukaryotic large subunit ribosomal RNA", at positions 1 to 599 of the family's 3401-position model. Lineage: Eukaryota; Fungi; Ascomycota; Sordariomycetes; Xylariales; Xylariaceae. The record is from RNAcentral.